This 800-nucleotide ribosomal RNA is filed under the name Pseudoalteromonas sp. RNAcentral describes it as "bacterial SSU rRNA". It matches the Rfam family "Bacterial small subunit ribosomal RNA", at positions 62 to 854 of the family's 1533-position model. The record is from RNAcentral. Lineage: Bacteria; Pseudomonadati; Pseudomonadota; Gammaproteobacteria; Alteromonadales; Pseudoalteromonadaceae.
UCGAGCGGAACGAAGAGGAGCUUGCUCCUUUGGCGUCGAGCGGCGGACGGGUGAGUAAUGCUUGGGAAUGUGCCUUAUGGUGGGGGACAACAGUUGGAAACGACUGCUAAUACCGCAUAAUGUCUUCGGACCAAAGUGGGGGACCUUCGGGCCUCACGCCAUAAGAUCAGCCCAAGUGGGAUUAGCUAGUUGGUAAGGUAAUGGCUUACCAAGGCGACGAUCCCUAGCUGGUUUGAGAGGAUGAUCAGCCACACUGGGACUGAGACACGGCCCAGACUCCUACGGGAGGCAGCAGUGGGGAAUAUUGCACAAUGGGCGCAAGCCUGAUGCAGCCAUGCCGCGUGUGUGAAGAAGGCCUUCGGGUUGUAAAGCACUUUCAGUAAGGAGGAAAGGUUAAGUGUUAAUAGCACUUAGCUGUGACGUUACUUACAGAAGAAGCACCGGCUAACUCCGUGCCAGCAGCCGCGGUAAUACGGAGGGUGCGAGCGUUAAUCGGAAUUACUGGGCGUAAAGCGUACGCAGGCGGUUUGUUAAGCGAGAUGUGAAAGCCCCGGGCUCAACCUGGGAACUGCAUUUCGAACUGGCAAACUAGAGUGUGAUAGAGGGUGGUAGAAUUUCAGGUGUAGCGGUGAAAUGCGUAGAGAUCUGAAGGAAUACCGAUGGCGAAGGCAGCCACCUGGGUCAACACUGACGCUCAUGUACGAAAGCGUGGGAGCAAACAGGAUUAGAUACCCUGGUAGUCCACGCCGUAAACGAUGUCUACUAGAAGCUCGACUCUUCGGAGUUGUUUUUCAAAGCUA